AUGGAGAAUGAAUCAAUUGAGGAUGCUGAAUGUAAAUCGAGUCUGAGUGUGAAAAUAAAUUGCAUUGUAUUUUUCUGCUUUGACUCAAAUUGCAGGGCUGCCACGAUUUGGAUUCAUGUUUGGUGCAGGCCUGGAACUGUUUUGAUAGUUUGUGAAGGUGUAAUAUCGUGGUUUUGGAGGAAAGCAAGUGAAGUCUUAUGA
Non-coding RNA from Vicia faba (fava bean), 201 nucleotides. NCBI's taxonomy places the organism in Eukaryota, Viridiplantae, Streptophyta, Magnoliopsida, Fabales, Fabaceae. The record is from the annotation of a GenBank genome assembly.